CAUUUGAUGUUUUUAGUCUUACUUAAUUUUGUUCUUUGGGCCAUUUGUUCUCUCACUCUUGUUGUUCAAAGCCAAUUUUGCAGACUAGUUUCAGCUUUGAUUACAGACCGCUGCAUGAUGAACGCAAUGUGAAAUGACUGUAGCU
This is a long non-coding RNA of Etheostoma spectabile (orangethroat darter), 145 nucleotides long. RefSeq lists it as uncharacterized. The record is from RefSeq and is a predicted model, not a curated record. Lineage: Eukaryota; Metazoa; Chordata; Actinopteri; Perciformes; Percidae. The transcript is spliced from 3 exons.